GCGUCUCGAGGCGGCCAAGAAAAUAUGCAAAAAAGGUCUAGAUCAUUCAAUGUUAUGCAAAACGAGUGGGGGAAUGGCAAACUACGUGGAACUCUAGAAACGAAACUGAAUGAUUUCAUCGAGU
This is a non-coding RNA of Caenorhabditis elegans, 124 nucleotides long. The record is from Ensembl. NCBI's taxonomy places the organism in Eukaryota, Metazoa, Nematoda, Chromadorea, Rhabditida, Rhabditidae.